GACGAACGCUGGCGGCGUGCUUAAUACAUGCAAGUCGAACGGAAAGGCCCUGCGUUUGUGGGUUACUCGAGUGGCGAACGGGUGAGUAACACGCGAGUAACCUGCCCUUGACUUUCGGAUAACUUCACGAAACUGGGGCUAAUACCCGAUAGGAUCUCCUGCUCCACGGUGUGGGUUGGAAAAUUUCGGCGGUUGGGGAUGGACUCGCGGGUUAUCAGCUGGUUGGGGGGGUAGUGGCUUACCAAGGCUGCGACGGCUAGCCGGCCUGAGAGGGUGACCGGCGACAAUGGGACUGAGAUACGGCGCAGUAUGCUAUGGGAGGCAGCAGUGGGAAAUAUGGCAGAGUGGGGGGAAGCCUGAUGCAGCAACGCCGCGUGCGGAAUGCCGGGCUACGGGUGGUAAACCGAUUUCGCCGGUGAUGAGGCGGGAGUGACGGUAAUGGGUAAAGAAGCACCGGCUAACUACGUG
This 468-nucleotide ribosomal RNA is filed under the name uncultured bacterium. RNAcentral describes it as "partial 16S ribosomal RNA". It matches the Rfam family "Bacterial small subunit ribosomal RNA", at positions 28 to 507 of the family's 1533-position model. The record is from RNAcentral.